This 3230-nucleotide long non-coding RNA is filed under the name Homo sapiens (human). RNAcentral's name for it is "LNC_000597". The record is from RNAcentral. Lineage: Eukaryota; Metazoa; Chordata; Mammalia; Primates; Hominidae.
AAGUACAUCCCCUUAACUCACUUCUGUUUGCGCAGCUCUGUGAGUAUAUGGACGCAGAGCGCAUACGUCUUCUCGUAUACGCAGAAGUGAGAUGGCUUUCUAAAGGUAGAUCACUGGCCAGAGUCUUUGAGUAGCACAUUUUAGUGGCACAGAAUGGGUCACAAGACUUGCUUAUUUGAUGGCAUAUUCAACCUGCUCAAUGAACUCAAUCUGUCACCUCAGGGGAGAAUUACAACUGUGUUCAAGUCUGCAUAUAAAGUGGUUGCAUCCAAUGCCAAACUGGAAUUAAUGGGGGCAAUGAGCGAAUGUUGGGAUUUUUGACAUGUUUCAAAAAUUAGAAGAAAUUUUGAAAGAUACUGAGCCAGGGCCUUCUUUCUUCCAGCUGGUGCAUGAUCACCUAUCUCAGCUUUCAAGAGAGUCUGAACAUUAUUUCCCAACCACAAAAGACCCACCUCCACAACUGGGAAGGAAUGGAUCUGCAACCCAUUUGUGAAUAAGCCAGGUGAAUUGACUUUGUCUGUGCUGGAAGAGGAUCAACUGCUUGAAAUCGCAAAUCGAGGUGGCCUUAAAAGUAUGUUUGAGACAACUUCAAGUCUUUACACAUUCUGGAUUAAAGUCAAGGCAAAAUAUACUGAGAUUGCCACGAAAGCACUGAAAAACCUGCUUCUAUUUCCAACAUCCUAUCUUUGUGAAGCAGGGUUUUCUGCAGUGACAGCAACCAAAAUAAGAUUACAGAGUAGACUGGACAUAAGCAACACACUUGGGGUGUAAAAAAUUCCAGGGUUCCCACUGAUUCUAUGUUACGGUGAGUUGUGUAACUAUUUUAUUAUGUAUUACCAUGUGAUAAUAAUAGAAAUAAAAUGCACAAUACAUGUAAUGUGCUUGAAUAUUCCUGAACCCACCACCCCCAAACCCAGCCGUUGGAAAAAUUGUCUUCCAUGAAAUCAGUACUUGGUGCCAAAAAGGUUAGGGACCGCCGCAUUACAGAAUGUCAUAAUUGCUGCCUUUUAUGACGAAAAUGCUGUGUCUCAGUAGCUAAGACAGGCACAUUGAUCAACAACUACAAAAUCUAAGUGUAUUUAAUAUUAAGGUCUUUUAGAUAACUUAAUAGGCUUUUGAAACAACAGAGAAGCCCUCACUUUGCAGAUGUGUAAGUAACUUUUCCAUAAAGUUAAAUGAAACCAUUAAAAUAUUUUCAAUUAUUGGUAAUACAUCCAAAUAGUAUGAAUGGGGAAAAUAGGAUUAGUGUUAUCUGAUUGCCACUAGGGGGAGGAAAAAUCAGCAAAUGAGCAGCAAAUAUGAACUGGAAGAAAAUGCUCCAAAAAGUUGGCGUGGCAUAUGUAUUUUGGUUAACAUUUGUGAAGUAUAAGUAGUGCAUUACACAAUUAAAGAAACAUUUUUUAUUUUUUUACUUUUCUAUAUAUUCUACAUUAAAAAUAUGUUCUAAUUAUACACACACAUUUAAAAGAAAAAAGUCAAAAGACAUAUAAAUAUCAUGGGAACAUGGAACUUUAGAAUGAGUCAGGACAAGUCUUAGAUAACUUUGCUCAGCCUCUCUCCUUCGUGUGACAUCCCUAGUAGAACAAGGUACACCUACCUCUACUUGGAAACUUCUGGUGAUGGGGAUCUUGUUUUUUUUUUUUUUUUUUUUUUCAGUCUAACUCACUCUAGUAUUGAUCAUCACUGAGUCAGAAACUUCUCCCCAAAAUGGACUACAACAUGGCUACAUUUUAUAUUCACUUGUGGCACAGUGUUACCAUAUAUUGAACUACAGGUUGUGCACUGCACAGCUUCAUAGAUUACAAUAUGCAUAGCACACCCUGAAGAUCAGCAGUGUCACAGGGUCAAGAUUCCUUUCAUGGCCUAUAUCAUUGUCCAAGUUGUAUAUAUUCUUUCUUUGUCUUCCUUUUUCUCUUCCUCUUCUUCCUUUUUUCCUUUCUUUUAGCAUUACUUGACCUCUUUAGAGGGAAGAUGUGGCUCAAAAUAUUGCUUUGGGUUAAUGUUCUUUGUCUUACAUUUUUCCUGGAAAAAAAUUAAUCAGUGGUUUUUUCUUGAUUUUCCACAUUUACGAAGUUUGCUUUUAGACUGCAAAGUAACUCACAGCACAGUUUCAGAUGACUUUUAUUGACUCAUGAUCAAGGGAACCCUCAACACACAAAAGAAAUUGAGCAUGAAUUUGUCAUAACUACUGACUUAAGGCUAAGCAAGGCAUAUAUACAUAUAUAUAUGUGUGUGUGUGUAUGUUUAUCUAAUUCUCACAACUAAUCUGUGCAAUAAUUGUUAUAGCCACAGCUCUGUCCUGGAGUCACAUUAAAUAGUUCCCUCAUCUGCCAAUGCUCCUUUAUUAUGGGCUCUCAUGCAUACUAUCCUCUCUAUUGAAACACUCACUCUGACCAUCCCAACUUCCUCUUUUGUUUAUUCUCUCUUUUGCCUGACAAACUCCAACUUAUAAUUCAGGUUUCAGAAUAGACAUGGCCAUUUCCAUGAUCUUCCAUGACGGGCUAGUUGCCCUCCCUAUUUGCUCCCAAAUGCUUUGCAUGUCCCAUAUUUUAUCCCAUAAAUUUAUAUUAUAGUUGCCUAUGUACUAGUCUAGUCUCGUGUGCUAGACUGUCUAACAAUAGUCUCUUGUAUUAGACUGACCACCGUGAGAUCCAGGACCAUAGAAGGGGGAACAUAGUUUAAUCUACUACAGUGUAGUGAGGACAUGGAACCUGCACCUAUGCUUCCUGGAUGUAAAUCCUGUCUUUACCACUUACUAACUGAGGGUCUGCAGACAAAUUAAAUGAAUGAGUCUGUUUAUUUGCAAAAUGAGAAUAAAAUAGUCCAUACUUUCUGCAAUUGUUGUGAGAGAGAACACAGAAAAGGCGCUGAGAGGGUACAUGGCAUGCAGUAAGUGUUAUUCGUUUUAUUGAGGCUAGUCAUGAAUGUAAUCUCAAGCUGGCACAUAGUAGAUGCUCAGAAAUUUUUGGAGACCCAGGAUCAUCUCAAAUGUAACUUCUUCUAUAAAGCCUUCUCAAAUGCCCCAUUUAGAAGUCUUCCUCUCAACUCAGAUGACACCUUACCUCCUACUAUUUAAUAGUACUUCUUAUCUAUUACCAUAUAUCCAGCGAAUGUUUUCUGCAUGUCGUUUUCUUCCUACCAAGCCAAAGCUUCUAGCUGGCAGGCUCCAUAUUUGUCUCUAUUCAUCACAACACCUAUGGUAGAAAACAAUUGUUGGAUGAAUUAAUGAC